This 465-nucleotide ribosomal RNA is filed under the name uncultured bacterium. RNAcentral's name for it is "SSU rRNA". It matches the Rfam family "Bacterial small subunit ribosomal RNA", at positions 26 to 518 of the family's 1533-position model. The record is from RNAcentral.
AGAAUCAACGCUGGCGGCGUGCCUAACACAUGCAAGUCGAACGAGAAAGUGGAGCAAUCCAUUAGUAAAGUGGCGCACGGGUGAGUAACACGUGACUAACCUACCCUUGAGUGGGGGAUAACCUAGGGAAACCUGGGCUAAUACCGCAUAAUACCUUCGGGUCAAAGGAGCAAUUCGCUUAAGGAGGGGGUCGCGGCCGAUUAGUUAGUUGGCGGGGUAAUGGCCCACCAAGACUAUGAUCGGUAUCCGGCCUGAGAGGGCGCACGGACACACUGGAACUGAAACACGGUCCAGACUCCUACGGGAGGCAGCAGUGGGGAAUAUUGCGCAAUGGGCGAAAGCCUGACGCAGCGACGCCGCGUGGGGGAUGAAGGCCUUCGGGUUGUAAACCCCUUUCAGCAGGGACGAAGCGAAAGUGACGGUACCUGCAGAAGAAGCGCCGGCUAACUACGUGCCAGCAGCCGC